UGGUUCCAUUCCGAACCCAGAAGCUAAGACUCUUCGCGCCGAUGGUACUGCACUUUUGUGGGUGUGGGAGAGUAGGUUAUUGCCGCUU
RNAcentral lists this ribosomal RNA (88 nucleotides) under Rothia mucilaginosa. RNAcentral also lists the same sequence under 1 other name. The record is from RNAcentral. Lineage: Bacteria; Bacillati; Actinomycetota; Actinomycetes; Micrococcales; Micrococcaceae.